This 440-nucleotide ribosomal RNA is filed under the name uncultured bacterium. Its description in RNAcentral is "partial 16S ribosomal RNA". It matches the Rfam family "Bacterial small subunit ribosomal RNA", at positions 338 to 795 of the family's 1533-position model. The record is from RNAcentral.
CCUACGGGAGGCAGCAGUGGGGAAUAUUGCACAAUGGGGGGAACCCUGAUGCAGCGACGCCGCGUGAGUGAAGAAGUAUCUAGGUAUGUUAAGCUCUAUCAGCAGGGAAGAAAAUGACGGUACGUGACUAAGUAGCCACGGCUAACUACGUGCCAGCAGCGGCGGGAAAACGGCGGGGGCAAGCGUUAUCCGGAUUUACUGGGGGUAAAGGGGGCGUAGUCGGUUAUGCAAGUCUGAAGGGAAAACUCAAGGGUCAACCAUGGGACUGCUGUGGAAACUGUAAAACUGGAGUGGAGGAGAGGUAAGCGGAAUUCCUGGUGUAGCGGUGAAAUGCGUAGAUAUUAGGAGGAACACCAGUGGCGAAGGCGGCUUACUGGACUCUAACUGACGUUGAAGCUCGAAGGCGUGGGGAGCAAACAGGAUUAGAUACCCUUGUAGUC